RNAcentral lists this ribosomal RNA (1093 nucleotides) under uncultured bacterium. Its description in RNAcentral is "bacterial SSU rRNA". It matches the Rfam family "Bacterial small subunit ribosomal RNA", at positions 402 to 1504 of the family's 1533-position model. The record is from RNAcentral.
UGCAGGAAGAAGCCCUCUGGGUUGUAAACUGCUUUUGACGGGGAAGAAACGACCCUUGCGAGGGGCAUUGACGGUACCCGCAGAAUAAGCACCGGCUAACUCCGUGCCAGCAGCCGCGGUAAUACGGAGGGUGCAAGCGUUGUCCGGAUUUAUUGGGUUUAAAGGGUGCGUAGGCGGUCUGGUAAGUCGGCGAUGAAAGCCCGGGGCUCAACCCCGGAACUGUCGUCGAUACUGUCGGACUUGAAUGGGGUGGAGGCUGGCGGAAUGGGCGGUGUAGCGGUGAAAUGCAUAGAUACCGUCCAGAACCCCGAUUGCGAAGGCAGCUGGCUGUACCUUUAUUGACGCUGAGGCACGAAAGCGUGGGGAGCGAACAGGAUUAGAUACCCUGGUAGUCCACGCCGUAAACGAUGGAUACUCGUCGUGGGCGAUAGACAGUCCGCGACUAAGCGAAAGCGGUAAGUAUCCCACCUGGGGAGUACGCCGGCAACGGUGAAACUCAAAGGAAUUGACGGGGGCCCGCACAAGUGGUGGAGCAUGUGGUUUAAUUCGAUGAUACGCGAGGAACCUUACCUGGGCUAGAAUGUGCGUGAAGUGGUCAGAAAUGGUCACGUCCUUCGGGACACAAAACAAGGUGCUGCAUGGCCGUCGUCAGCUCGUGCCGUGAGGUGUUGGGUUAAGUCCCGCAACGAGCGCAACCCCUAUGUUUAGUUGCCAGCGGGUGAUGCCGGGGACUCUAGACAGACUGCCUCCGCAAGGAGUGAGGAAGGCGGGGACGACGUCAGGUCAUCAUGGCCCUUACGCCCAGGGCUACACACGUGCUACAAUGGCCGGUACAGCGGGUUGCGACACAGCGAUGUGAAGCCAAUCUCUCUAAAGCCGGUCUCAGUUCGGAUCGGAGUCUGCAACUCGACUCCGUGAAGCUGGAAUCACUAGUAAUCGCGUAUCAGCAAUGACGCGGUGAAUACGUUCCCGGGCCUUGUACACACCGCCCGUCAAGCCAUGGAAGUUUGGUGGACCUGAAGACGGUGCCCUUCACAGGAGCCGGUUAGGGUAAAACAGAUAACUAGGGCUAAGUCGUAACAAGGUAGCCGUA